This 70-nucleotide transfer RNA is filed under the name Longpotamon exiguum. RNAcentral describes it as "tRNA-Ile". The record is from RNAcentral. Lineage: Eukaryota; Metazoa; Arthropoda; Malacostraca; Decapoda; Potamidae. RNAcentral also lists the same sequence under 2 other names.
AAUAUAGUGCCUGAAUUAUUAAGGAUAGUUUUGAUAGAACUAAUAAUGUAGCUUCUAACUACCUAUAUUU